CCUUACCAGGUCUUGACAUCCUCUGACAAUCCUAGAGAUAGGACGUCCCCUUCGGGGGCAGAGUGACAGGUGGUGCAUGGUUGUCGUCAGCUCGUGUCGUGAGAUGUUGGGUUAAGUCCCGCAACGAGCGCAACCCUUGAUCUUAGUUGCCAGCAUUCAGUUGGGCACUCUAAGGUGACUGCCGGUGACAAACCGGAGGAAGGUGGGGAUGACGUCAAAUCAUCAUGCCCCUUAUGACCUGGGCUACACACGUGCUACAAUGGACAGAACAAAGGGCAGCGAAACCGCGAGGUUAAGCCAAUCCCACAAAUCUGUUCUCAGUUCGGAUCGCAGUCUGCAACUCGACUGCGUGAAGCUGGAAUCGCUAGUAAUCGCGGAUCAGCAUGCCGCGGUGAAUACGUUCCCGGGCCUUGUACACACCGCCCGUCACACCACGAGAGUUUGUAAC
This 448-nucleotide ribosomal RNA is filed under the name Bacillus sp. A06. RNAcentral's name for it is "bacterial SSU rRNA". It matches the Rfam family "Bacterial small subunit ribosomal RNA", at positions 969 to 1418 of the family's 1533-position model. Lineage: Bacteria; Bacillati; Bacillota; Bacilli; Caryophanales; Bacillaceae. The record is from RNAcentral.